This 247-nucleotide ribosomal RNA is filed under the name uncultured Nitrospira sp. RNAcentral describes it as "partial 16S ribosomal RNA". It matches the Rfam family "Bacterial small subunit ribosomal RNA", at positions 527 to 773 of the family's 1533-position model. Lineage: Bacteria; Pseudomonadati; Nitrospirota; Nitrospiria; Nitrospirales; Nitrospiraceae. The record is from RNAcentral.
GCAGGUGGCAAGCGUUGUUCGGAUUUACUGGGCGUACAGGGAGCGUAGGCGGUUGGGUAAGCCCUCCGUGAAAUCUCCGGGCCUAACCCGGAAAGUGCGGAGGGGACUGCUCGGCUAGAGGAUGGGAGAGGAGCGCGGAAUUCCCGGUGUAGCGGUGAAAUGCGUAGAGAUCGGGAGGAAGGCCGGUGGCGAAGGCGGCGCUCUGGAACAUUUCUGACGCUGAGGCUCGAAAGCGUGGGGAGCAAAC